RNAcentral lists this long non-coding RNA (389 nucleotides) under Fragaria vesca (wild strawberry). Its description in RNAcentral is "long non-coding RNA (FVES_LNC002294)". Lineage: Eukaryota; Viridiplantae; Streptophyta; Magnoliopsida; Rosales; Rosaceae. The record is from RNAcentral.
AACACGAUAAACAAGAUGCUAUAAAUGGUGUAAAUCCUGUGUCCCCAGACACUGGCAAAGAUGUAGUACAGUUCAAUAUAAAUAGCACUGAAAGGCAGAAAACCAGCCAUUGCCAUUUGAGGGACUGUUGCCCGGUACCAAGGUAAAGGUGGAAUCUCUCUGGGAUACUUGGUGGUUCGAACAGGAGCUUGGAACUCAGCUUUACUGUUCUUUCCAGCAAUCCCACCCAAUACCAAUAAAGGUGAUGUAACAAGUGUCCAUAUUAGAACUAUAACCACAAUUGUGCCAAAUGGAAGUGCUGCAGUGGCUGUGUAAGCAAUUGCGACAGUAUUCAAAAAGCAAAAUGUGAGAAACAAAGGUCCACAGAAGAGGCAUCCCGUCAACAACAG